CGAUGAAGCCCUUCGGGGUGUAAACGUCGUCUUUACGGCAGGGAAGAUUAUGACGGUACCUGCAGAAGCAGCUGCGGCUAACUACGUGC
Molecule: ribosomal RNA, 89 nt
Filed under: uncultured bacterium
Lineage: Bacteria
Description: partial 16S ribosomal RNA
Source: RNAcentral